This is a long non-coding RNA of Equus caballus (horse), 1114 nucleotides long. The record is from Ensembl. NCBI's taxonomy places the organism in Eukaryota, Metazoa, Chordata, Mammalia, Perissodactyla, Equidae.
CUGGCCUGCAGGGCUCCCCGCCUCGGCUUCAAAGGCUGGAGAGACAGCCACUCAGGGAGCCCCCCAGUACAUAGUUGUAUGUUCUAGUUGUGAGUGCCUCUGGCUGUGCUGUGUGGGAUGCUGCCUCAAGGUGGCCUGACGAGCAAUGUCAUGUCGCGCCCAGGAUCCGAACCAGCGAAACCCUGGGCCGCUGAAGCGGAGCGAGUGAACCUAACCACUGGGCCACGGGGCCGGGCCCCUCCUGGCUCAUUUUUGAAGACCUGGCUUGAGUUCUCCCAUUUCCAAGGAUCGACUCUGGAUUACUCAACUCACAUUAUUUUUCUCUUUCCUUUUAAUCCUUCAGUCGAGAGGAAAUCGCAGAAACUCUUUCAUAAAUCUCUUUUGUUUCAUACUGAUGGAGUCUCAGAAUAACUUUCGUUUCGUGAUACUCGGAUUCCAGACGCGAUAAAAGUUUGAUGUCUAACGAAACAAGGUUUUUGGUUCUGUUCCGGCAUCCACGUCUGCCUUGAUCACAGCUGCGGCUCUGGGCCUGCGUUUCAAGUCAGCUGUGCGUUUGCUGGGCUAACGUGCGCAUCCAACUUCGGAAAGAUGGAUGACGUUUCCUUACAGUCUGGCCUGAACACGUUACCCACCAUGCAUUUCCCCUUGAGUUGGAGCGAGCGGUGACACUACGGGGACACGCUGUCUCUGUGCUGUCCUAGAGGAGACAGCUCAAGGACAGCAACCUGUGCAGGGGUGAGUGCCCUUUGCCACCUGUGUCUGUUGCAGCAGUCACGUGCCCAGUUCUGGCCUCCAGAGUUGGCGGUCUCACCUUUUCUAGCCCAGAAGUCAAUGGGCCAGAGCUCCGAGGGGCCAGAAGAUCGUGGCCCCAGACCUUCCUGGAGUCCUCCCCAAGCCCUGCGCCUUCUGCAGCAGACCCAGAGAGGCCCUUUGCACACACAGGAAUGCCACAUCUGUCACCUCGGCUUUGAGGGGCGCACUGCAAGACUUGUCGUGUCCUUCCCCUCACGCUCUCCUGUUAAAUAAAUCGGUGGUCGUGCUUGCCCUGCUGCCAUCUCAGACCUUCCUGAUGGAGACCCGUGGAGACUCACGUCUGUUCGUCACACCAGCCCAG